AAUUUUGGUGCCUUCCAAGGGCCAAAGUACAAGAGGCACCUGCUGCUAACCAGGAUCCAGCGGCCUCUCUGUGGAUCAGGAGGACGAGGCCAGCAGGGCUCCAGAGGGCAGUGAAACUCCAGACAGGAGUAAGCACUGUCUGCUUUCCCCCUUGACCUCAGGACCUCCAGCCCUUCUGGGACUGCAGGUAUUCGCAGCCUGCAGACAAGAUGGAGGUGAGACGCCGGUGCGAACCUACAAGCAGAAGGAGCGCCAGCAGAAUUCUGGAGUUCAGGUCGCCAAACAGACGCAGUAAUUCCUAACAUUUGCACGCGGUCCGACUGAAAGUGGACGCGCCCUCGCAGGCCACGCCCUUUCCGGUUGCAGCAUUCCAGCAAUGUCUCGGAAGAAGGAUUGCGGUCUCUGCGCAGGAGAAACACCCACACUAGGAAAGCUAUCUCCCUUCAAGGGAACUCGGAAGGGAGUUACAAGAAGUGGGCGCUGGAGGAUGGCUCGGAAGGAGCUGUCUUUGGGCAGGGUAAGCCUGCCGACCAGUGCUGGACUCUUACCUCGCGUGGCCUGACAUCACCUCCUCUCCAAAUUGUUACAGGCCAUUGUCUCAGUCCCAGACAAUGCAGUCUUGGCGCCGCCUACCCCAUCACGCUCUCUGCUGCUUCAAGGCCCAUGUACAGGAUGGAAACUGAGAAACAGCCCUGCCCUCUUUUGUAGCCCCGAAUUGUCCAGUCGCACACCCAACGAUGUGUGUACCCAACACAGGGCCGACAUACUGCGUGGGGCCGUACCGGAUCAGAGCAGUGAGCUGCAGGGGGCCCAGAGGCAAGCACUCAACGGAAGACUCACAGAUCUGUGUGUCCGAGCAAGGUUCAGUAUUAAGGUGUUGAGUAUUUUAACAAACUGUUAAAAGUUGUAAACAUUGAAGCAGGCUAGAAAGACAGGGAAAAAAGUAAGGAGACAUGGGAAGGAAAAGGAGCCCCUCCCUAGCUGAAAGUCAAGAAUUCCGGCACAACUGACUUUUGUUGUGAAGACUGGCUGCAUAGAAGCAAUAUGCUUCUUUUAUACAGAAGUAAUUUCAAAUAACAAUGUUAAAAUAACAAUGACCCAUGCUUAAGCCCUGCGUGUAUAUGACCUUAGAAUAUGGGUUUACUUCUUUCCCACAUUGGAACCUGAAAAUUUCUGAGUUUCAAAGACAAAAGUUUACAGUAAAAGCUCCAUGCAGCUGGGCAUGAGGUUGCAUGCCUUUAAUCCCAGCUCUCAGGAGGCAGAGGCAGAUGGAUCUCUGUGAGUUCAAGGCCAGCCUGGUCCACAAAGACAGUUCCAGGACAACCAGAGCUGUUACACAGAGAAACCCUGUCUUCAAAACCAAAACAAACAAAAACCCUCCACGCAACCCUUGAACCCUAGUGUUUUACCUUAUCAGCUGUAAUACUGUCCAGUACACAUCAGGAGCGCUUUAUGGCCACAUUUAAAUCCUUUAGCAACCCUUUGAUAUGGAACUUCAGAUGACACCGGCAUCUUGCAUGGCCACUGUAAAGAUAUUUAAGGGGGACCGUCUGGAGAGACCCACAUUCCCACUUGGGCAGGUACUUUUCUAUUUCCUAUAAGCCUGCCCCCCCCCCAUCAUGUGUAAGUCUGUGUUAAAUUCUCUUCUUAAUUAAUUCCAAAUUUACUUCAUACUGACUCAUCCUGAAAUUUCCUAGGGUGUAGUAAGAAGUCCAGUUUCAUAAGCCUUGGCAUGGAGCUGUGUCUUCAGCCCAUGGGCCAACUACUGCUCAGAGAAUCCAAAUGGAAUCACUGUCAAAACCCUACUCAAAUGAGGCUGAGGGUGAUGAUACCAGCCUGUAAUCUCAACACUUGGAAGCCUGUGGCAUUGGGAUUGCUAGCCACUCUGGACUACAUGGUGAGUUGCAAGUCAGUUGAGGGUACCUAGGGAGACCCUGCCACAAUAGAAACCUACCUAGGAGCCCGGCCGUGGUGGCGCACGCCUUUAAUCCCAGCACUCGGGAGGCAGAGGCAGGCGGAUCUCUGUGAGUUCGAGACCAGCCUGGUCUACAGAGCUAGUUCCAGGACAGGCUCCAAAGCCACAGAGAAACCCUGUCUUGAAAAAAAAAGAAAAAAAAAAAAGAAACCUACCUAGGGCCGGGGAGAUGGCUCAGAAGGUAAAAGUACUAGCUGCACAAACCCGAGGACCUCAAUCUGAUACCUGGAACCCAUGUAAGAAGCUGUAUUCUGUGGCAUGCAGCUGCAAUCCUAGUACUCCUGUGGCUGAGAUGGAGAGGCAGACACAGAAGGAGCCAGCUAGCCUAUAGUAGACACCACUCUACUUAAAGUCUCUUGACAAGGGUACCUUAGCGUUGACUGUGCUCUAAGGAGCAAACAGUCGGAGACAGGAAGUGCACUCAAUUUUUAUUCUAUUACAAGUGGUGAUGAAGAACCAGCCUGCCUCCAUCUUAGACUUAAAAGCCAUCUUAUUAUUUCUUUCUAUUUUUCUUUUUAAGAUUUAUUUAUUUAUUAUGUAUAGUAUUCUGCCUGCGUGUAUCCUUGCAAGCCAGGAGGAGGAUACCGGAUCCCAUUAGAGAUGGUUGUGAGCCACCAUGUGGUUGCUGGGAAUUGAACUCAGGACCUUUGGAAGAGCAGUAAGUGCUCUUAACCUCAGAGCCACCUCUCCAGCCCUAAAAACCAUCCUAUAAUAAAGACAAACUAGGUUCAUUCCUGUUUAUGAUUAAACCUGUUUCUCCAGGAUUGAACUGUGCCCCACUUGUAACCUUGACUACACAUGGUUCUGUACUGCCUGUUCCAGGAAUGGCAAUCAUGUCUUUGUUUCAAAAAGUUGUUUAUAGCCAUCUUGCAACCCUACAGUUUGUUUCAAAAGGUUAUCUGACCCCCUAUGACCACCUUGUUAUGACCACCUGCUGUUCUGACUUUCUUGUUCUGUCCACCUUCUACCACGACUUUGUUUGAGGAGGUCAUUAGGACUAAAUGGUCAUGCUUAUGUUCUGCUCCUGUAACCCCUAUUUUGCCUGCCAGAUCCCCCAUUCGGGAAACCCCCUACCCUUGAGCUAUGAAAGCCUUGUCUUCCUCACAUCUAGUGGUGACCCCUCGAAUCUCCCCUUAGGGGUUGACAGCCCGUAUUCAGAAAUAAAAAGUUUGCUUUAA
This is a long non-coding RNA of Microtus oregoni (creeping vole), 3153 nucleotides long. RefSeq lists it as uncharacterized. NCBI's taxonomy places the organism in Eukaryota, Metazoa, Chordata, Mammalia, Rodentia, Cricetidae. The transcript has 4 exons. The record is from RefSeq and is a predicted model, not a curated record.